Molecule: RNA transcript, 1773 nt
Organism: Hipposideros armiger (great roundleaf bat)
Lineage: Eukaryota; Metazoa; Chordata; Mammalia; Chiroptera; Hipposideridae
Gene: YRDC
Gene name: yrdC N6-threonylcarbamoyltransferase domain containing
Exons: 6
Source: RefSeq, a predicted model, not a curated record
CCGGAAGCGGGUCUGAGCGGAUGUCUCCGGCGCGUCCGUGCAAGGGGCUGAGGGCCGCGGUGGCUGCCAGCGUGGGGUUAAGUGAGGGGCCUACGGGCUCCGCCCGAAGCGGCCGCCUCCUCCGCCCUCCGACGACGCCGGGGGCCCGGCUGUUGCGGCUCCCGGGGAGCGGAGCCGUGCGGGCCGCAAGCCCGGAGCGCGCCGGUUGGACCGAGGCGCUGCGGGCUGCGGUGGCCGAGCUGCGCGCCGGCGCCGUGGUGGCCGUCCCCACCGAUACGCUGUACGGCCUGGCCUGCUCGGCGAGUUGCUCGGCGGCACUGGACGCUGUGUACCGCCUCAAGGGCCGCAGCGAGGCCAAACCGCUGGCCGUGUGCCUGGGCCGCGUGGCCGACGUCUACAGGUACUGCCACGUGAGAGUACCUGAGGGACUCCUGAAAGACCUGUUACCAGGACCAGUGACCCUGGUGAUGGAACGCUCAGAGGAGCUCAAUAAGGACCUGAACCCCUUCACUCAUCUUGUAGGCAUCCGCAUACCUGACCACACCUUCAUGCAGGACUUGGCCCAGAUGUUUGGGGGACCGCUUGCUCUCACCAGCGCCAACCUCAGCUCCCAGGCCAGUUCUUUGAAUGUUGAGGAGUUCCAGGACCUCUGGCCUCAGUUGUCCCUGGUCAUUGAUGGGGGACCAAUUGGGAAUGGCCAGAGCCCUGAGUGUCGCCUAGGCUCAACUGUGAUCGACUUGUCUGUGCCUGGAAAGUUUGACAUCAUUCGUCCAGGCUGGGCCGAAUGCUGGUGUCAAUGUAGCCAGGCCCCACACUGGGAAUGAACAUGAGGUUGUUGGCAUCACAAAAGUUCUUCACAGCUUUCCAGUUCUGAUGGGAGGAGCCGAAGGAGAAACCGUUGGAGGCAAACGGUAAAAUGCGCCAUGGGAGCCAUACCUGAGGAGCGGGAGGAAGAAGAGCCUGAGCUGGCAGCCUAGGAUGGGAGAAGCCAGCACAGCUGUGGGACCAGCCAUGGAUGAUAGCUUUCCUGAUGCCUGAGUACAACUGCGGAUCCAGCUAGUCUCCACAAUUGGACCCAACAUGCCUCCAAGCAAGACCCUAGUUCCCUUCCCCCUCUCCCUAGACUUGCUAUUCCUUUAUUCAAGACACUUCCCUGCCCUAGGCCAAGUCACCACCAUCUUUUAUCUGGAUUUCAGCAACAGCCACCUAACUGGUCUCCAGGCUGCCACUUUCCACCUCCCUACAAUCCAUUCUCUUUUUAAAGUGUAAAUCAGAUCUGAUGUCUUGCCAAGACCUACAAGGCCUCACCUACUUGAUCUGGACCUGCCCACCACCUCAAUUCCUGCUAUUACCUCAUCUGUCUACACACUCCACCUAUACUGGCCUUUCUAAUCUGCUGUCAGGCUUGUCCCAUCAUAUGACCUUUGCAUCUGACAGCCCUCUGCCUGGAAUUUUCUGCUUGCUCCAGAUCUUGGCAGAGCCGACUCUUCAUUUACAUGUUUGCUCACAUGUCAUCUCAGAGAGCUCACUUGACCACACCUUCUAAAGUAUUUUUCAGACACACUAACACAACACCCUGCUUUAUUCUUUAUUAUUUUUCAUAGUGUGGAUCAUCACUGAAUUUUCAUGUGUAACUACUGCCUGCUCCACUGCCCUCCCCAAUACAAAUUAGAAUAGAAUAAAAUUUUGCUAGUCCUACCUGUUACUGUACAACUGGGGCUUAGAGCAGUGUCUAGACACCUAAAGGCAUUCAAUAAAUAUUGCUUUAAUGAA